AUAAACGCUGACAGAAUGCUUAACACAUGCAAGUCGAUGAUGGGAGCUAGCUUGCUAGCAGCAGUCAUGGCGGACGGGUGAGUAACGUGUAAAGAACUUACCAUAUAGACUGGGAUAACAGAGGGAAACUUCUGAUAAUACUGGAUAAGUUAGUAGUAGCAUUACUAAGUAAUGAAAGGUAGCAAUACGCUAUAUGAGAGCUUUGCAUCCUAUUAGCUAGUUGGUGGGGUAAAAGCCUACCAAGGCGAUGAUAGGUAGCCGGCCUGAGAGGGUGGACAGCCACAAGGGGACUGAGAUACGGCCCUUACUCCUACGGGAGGCAGCAGUGGGGAAUAUUGGACAAUGGAGGCAACUCUGAUCCAGCAAUUCUGUGUGUGUGAAGAAGGUUUUAGGACUGUAAAACACUUUUAGUAGGGAAGAAAGAAAUGACGGUACCUACAGAAGAAGCGACGGCUAAAUACGUG
This 464-nucleotide ribosomal RNA is filed under the name uncultured bacterium. RNAcentral's name for it is "partial 16S ribosomal RNA". It matches the Rfam family "Bacterial small subunit ribosomal RNA", at positions 32 to 507 of the family's 1533-position model. The record is from RNAcentral.